AUGACACCUAAAUGUGGCGUCGCGCUGUGUAGAGUUGGAUGUGCAGACGGUGGGUGGACAGUGCAAGGUUGCCCUAGGGAAAGCCUUGUCGACAUCGCCUUCUGUAACGGCGAGCUCUAUGGCCUACACUAUGAAGGGGCACCCGUCAAGUUUGACAUUGGCGUGAACAAGGACGGUGCACCAAUGAUCAUUGGAGAACAUCGGCUAGCCAUGCAAAGGGUCAACCGCACCAAUCAUAAGGACCACUACCACUACAUGGAUUAUGCCGGUUGUUACAUCUUCGAUCUGCAGGGCAAGCUUGCGAUGGCAGCAAUUUAUAGGUGUUUGCCAAACCACAAGCCUUUCUUCAAGGUGUUCAAGCUUGUUGACAUCUGCAUCGACGGAUCGAAGGCACAUUGCAAGCACAAGUGGCUGGAGGUGACAAGCUUGGGUGAGCACGCCUUGUUUUUGGGAAACAAAUUCUCUAAGGCGGUUCACAUGCCAACAAACAUGCAGGGAGAGGUGGAGAGAAAUUGCAUCUGCUACUCGCACCGUUGUCGUCUAGGUUCAUAUGACGUCAUCCCUAGUGACAAGGUAUUCUUGACAAUCUCGAAUGACAUCCCUGAAAAGACGUACUACAAGGAAGAAGACACGAGGAAAGACAUCGCCGUGGCUGACUUAAUGAGGAUCAGGUCGGUAGGAUACUUCAAGAAAGGUGAUUUACAGGGUGGCAUGUGGAUUCUCCCUCCACAUAUAUAG
This 738-nucleotide ribosomal RNA is filed under the name Triticum aestivum (bread wheat). RNAcentral's name for it is "partial small subunit ribosomal RNA". Lineage: Eukaryota; Viridiplantae; Streptophyta; Magnoliopsida; Poales; Poaceae. The record is from RNAcentral.